Molecule: long non-coding RNA, 563 nt
Filed under: Suricata suricatta (meerkat)
Lineage: Eukaryota; Metazoa; Chordata; Mammalia; Carnivora; Herpestidae
Description: lncRNA (ENSSSUG00005006499.1)
Source: RNAcentral
AUGUCUGCGUCAGCAGCUCCCGCGGUGGCGUCGUCUGUGGCGAUCUCUGCGCCUCCGGUGCUGCCCCUGCUGUCAGCAGCCGCGUCUGCAGCGCCCCCUGCAGCGGCAACAUGGUGGUGGGCACCAAUUCGUGCGGUGCCUGCAGCGUGGGCUGUAAGAAGUGCUAAGAGGCCGCAGCGCCCCAGCCAGCGUGCAGCCGUGUCACCCUCCGCCGGCCAGGACCUCGAUCACCCCCUCACUGCCCCACGACCGCCAGCUGUCCGCCCUCAACAUCCAGUCGCCAGAUGUGUACAGUCGGCAGGAGCUCCCAACGUGCUCCCUCCGAAUAUGCCAGUGUGCUUGAUCCUGUGGAAUGGAGGUGAGGAACACCGAGGGUGGUUUUCCUGUAACUCUGUGAGGCCCGUGACCGCAGGAGGGAAGAGCAUCUCCCUCCAGGGAUGCCUGCAGAAGCUUCUGAAAAACCAGCGACUCAAUUGCCAGCUCAUUUAUUUGUCUUCGUUUCACUCUGUGUUUCCAAUAAACUAACUGUAGCUGAUCAAACAUGGUGCCUCAGAGUCUUCAAA